Molecule: transfer RNA, 76 nt
Filed under: Desulfotomaculum sp.
Lineage: Bacteria; Bacillati; Bacillota; Clostridia; Eubacteriales; Desulfotomaculaceae
Also listed under: 1 other name
Description: tRNA-Val
Rfam family: tRNA
About the family: Transfer RNA (tRNA) molecules are approximately 80 nucleotides in length.
Source: RNAcentral
GGGCGAUUAGCUCAGCUGGGAGAGCACCUGCCUUACAAGCAGGGGGUCAGUGGUUCGAGCCCACUAUCGCCCACCA